RNAcentral lists this ribosomal RNA (230 nucleotides) under uncultured bacterium. RNAcentral's name for it is "partial 16S ribosomal RNA". It matches the Rfam family "Bacterial small subunit ribosomal RNA", at positions 562 to 791 of the family's 1533-position model. The record is from RNAcentral.
AAAGCGUGCGCAGGCGGUUAUGCAAGACAGAUGUGAAAUCCCCGGGCUCAACCUGGGAACUGCAUUUGUGACUGCAUAGCUAGAGUACGGUAGAGGGGGAUGGAAUUCCGCGUGUAGCAGUGAAAUGCGUAGAUAUGCGGAGGAACACCGAUGGCGAAGGCAAUCCCCUGGACCUGUACUGACGCUCAUGCACGAAAGCGUGGGGAGCAAACAGGAUUAGAUACCCCAGU